UUGUCCAGAAUGUGAGGAGGACCAACAUGAGAUAGAGAAUUAAGAUAUACAGGCUACACAUGGCAUGUGUGACAUCUCAUGAUUCCCUUUUAUUCAAAAAGUUUGGUCCAUAAGGGGUUAAAGGGAUAUUAUAGGCAUCAAAACAACUUUAGCUUAAUGAAGCAGUUUGGGUGUAUAUAACAUGACCCUGCAGUAUCACUGCCUACAGUUAAAGAAAAAAACCAAAACAAAAAAAACAAAAGAAAAAACAAAAUAUAACAGAUGAAAGGUUAAAAUUAGUUGUUGGACAAGAAAGCGAAGUUUGGUAGUUUGUUUUAGUUAGAUACAGGCUUCCCCAAACUCCGGCC
This is a non-coding RNA of Pelobates cultripes (western spadefoot toad), 347 nucleotides long. NCBI's taxonomy places the organism in Eukaryota, Metazoa, Chordata, Amphibia, Anura, Pelobatidae. The record is from the annotation of a GenBank genome assembly.